CAGCCGCCGCGGUAAUACCGGCGGCCCGAGUGGCGGCCACUAUUAUUGGGCCUAAAGCGUCCGGAGCCGGGCUGGUAAGUCCUCCGGGAAAUCUGGUCGCUUAACGGUCAGAAUGCCGGAGGAUACUCCCAGCCUAGGGAGCGGGAGAGGCCGAGGGGAUUCCCGGAGUAGGGGUGAAAUCCUAUAAUCCCGGGAGGACCACCUGUGGCGAAGGCGCUCGGCUGGAACGCGUCCGACGGUGAGGGACGAAGGCCAGGGGAGCAAACCGGAUUAGAUACCCGGGUAGUCCUGGCUGUAAACGAUGCGGACUUUGUGUCGGACAAGCUAUGAGCUUGUCCGGUGCCGGAGGGAAACCGUUAAGUCCGCCGCCUGGGGAGUACGGCCGCAAGGCUGAAACUUAAAGGAAUUGGCGGG
Molecule: ribosomal RNA, 414 nt
Filed under: uncultured microorganism
Description: bacterial SSU rRNA
Rfam family: Archaeal small subunit ribosomal RNA
Source: RNAcentral